UCAGCUUUUUGAGGAUACUAUUUAGUCAUUUCCUCGGAAGACAAAGGGUGCCCAUCAGAGCUAAUGCUACUUCACUUGCACUUGUGUUGCCGUGUGGGUGGUGGCUGUAACACGCAUUUGGAAAAUGCACAGGGCUGAUUCAAAAUGACAGCAAUGGUGUUAGUGCAGGCAUGUGCUACUCAGCAGUUCGCAGAGUCCCUGAAACCUUUGUGAAACAAGGAGGAAUCCUCUUCUGACAUACUUCUCUCAGCUGUCUAAAUAAGGGAGAAAAUGUGCCUCAGGAGAAAUGAGAAGUCUGUUGGUUUUCAUUAACUUUUAAUUUGAAGCCUGCAUAACUGAAUGAAACCACUGUAGUAAUCUGGAAAAGGUAUCCAAAAGGCCUGUUGAGUCAGAGCUAAUUCCUCCCCUCUCUCUAAAAAGUGCAUAGAAACAAGGUGCUUUAUUCAAGACGCACAGUAUCCUCACCAGGGCCGGCAAAAGGUCUGCUCAGACUCGAGCAGCCGGAGCAGCUCUACAAAGUCAUCUCAGGCUGCUGCAACAUUCCCGGGGCUGUCGUAAAGGUCAGCGUGCUGUGUCCUUCAGCUGUGUGGAGUUUUGAUUAGCGAAUCUGCAUCAUCGACAACUCUGAACUGCUUCCAGACAGCGAUAUAUUAGGGCUCCCAUGUGCACAAGGAGUGCUCUCCCCGUGCCCAGCUUGUGCUCGGAGGUGUGGGACUUGCCGCACAGCAAGCAUUUGGCCUGUAACGCUUACUGCAGCAAGGCUCGCGCCCAAUUAUUCCAGCCAUGUCAGGGAAGAAAUGUUUGAAAAUGUUGUUUUGCUGCCAAGUCUUCCUGAAAGAAAAAAAAAAAAAAAUAAAAAAAAAGAAGGGUCAUUUCAAAUACUGAAGGAUGACCUAUGAGAAUGGACAAACCUGUGCGUCUCAAGUGCCUCCCUGCAUGCCUGACACCAGUAAUGCCAACACUCUUGUGAGCAGGAAUUUUAUAUAUAAAGCAAGGAGAACCUGAUUAAAGGAGAGGGGACCACAGUGUGACUGGUUAUUUCCCCACACUUUACUGUUUUCCAGGGUCAUUCCUCAAGGCCAUGUUUACAGUGCUCACAGUGCCAUAACCUCAUAUUUUCAGGAUCUUAGCAUAUCUGCAAGAGCUGUAAUUCUGCCAGGUGCCUUGCCACCUCCAACUUGUGUUUUGUGAUCAUGUCCAGGCCUGUUUGGCCUUGCUACCAAACCCAAGCCAUCAGGUGUAGUGUGACGUUGGGAAGCCACAUGUCCCUGAUCUCAUUUCGGCUUUGCCAUUACACCAUAGAAGCGGUUCAGAGAUGAGUCCUGCCGGGAAUCUGCCCAGCCCUGUGAACUAGAAAUUCCUGCUUUCUUGUGUCCAAGCUCCACUAACCAAUCGUGUGUGGCUCAGGUUUAGUUUAAGGGUUUGUCAAGUACAGCUGUGGUGCAGUUGCUUCCAUAUGGUGCAUUGGUACAGUGGAUGUUGAAGAAAAUACAAGAUCUGGAGCAUUUUUCCUCUUUUUUUGUUCACCAACAAAGACUAUGGCCACUUUCUGCACCAGAAAGAAGAGAAAAGCGCUGUUUGAAGCAGAGCUGAAUGACAGGCUUGCACCACGUGCCAAGGAGCAGCCGGCGAGCGAAGCACCUCCCUGGCAGCCAGGACAUCAGAGGAGCUGGACGCAGAGAUGAAAUGUCACUAUAUUGAUCAUUACUGCUGUUUUGUUGUGUUUUCUGUUAAUACCACACUGCUGCCUUACUCAAGUUCACGUAAGGGGAACACUGGGGACUGUGACAACACAGCAAGCUGAGGCUGCUGACGCCAACAAAGGUGGGAGGGAAAUACAGGCAUUUAAGUGAGAGAAGAAUUUGUCCCAGUUUCACCUUUUGAUUUUGUGCAAUGAAGAAAAACUAAAAAACUGUUGCUGACGGUGCCAGCUUUUAACCCUAACUGCACAGUUACAGGACAUUGUAUUAGAAUUUAUGUUAUUACUUAAUUUCAGAUUUCACCUCUUUUUUUUUUCCUUUCCCUGUCAUCUUGAGAUGUAUCUAUCUCCCUUAAUGCCUGGCCACGCUGGAAAGAUGUGUCCCUGUAGUCAACAAGAACUGGGAAUACGGAGAUAACGUCAAAUGAUUUCUGCAAAUACGAACUUCUCAGAAAGUUUAAUUUUUGUAAAAGUUCAUGUCUUUGAAAUGUUUGUAGGCCAAUGAUUUAGACAAUUUAUUCUGACUUUCUGAGCACACUAUUUUUCUAUACCCUCGGUUAAACAGUGUGAAUGAAGGUUGCCAUAGUUACAGCUGAGUUCAGAAAUGAGCUCUAUUGUAUUGUAAUUCUAGUUUCUUAUCUCACUCCUCCUGAUGUGAAAGACAUGUUUCCAUCUCUGUAAUUAGCCACGAUGUGAAAGAUCUUGGUCAUUCAUUUAAAAAUGCUUGAGCAAAUGUGGGAGGGGGGACAUUUCUCGUUCUCUUGUUUUCACCAAAACCACUGAGCAACAUGAUACUUUCUGCACCCAGUCUGCCUACCUUCUGUGCAGAACUUGGAUUAGUCCUUGAAAUUUAAUUUGGCAUUUUAAUUUGCUGCAAAAAUAUACACCAUAAAGUAAACAGAUAAGCCUAUGACUUUGUUUUAUAAAGAAUGUAUUAAACAUGUAAGCACCUGUA
Columba livia (rock pigeon) is the source of this 2654-nucleotide long non-coding RNA. RefSeq lists it as uncharacterized. NCBI's taxonomy places the organism in Eukaryota, Metazoa, Chordata, Aves, Columbiformes, Columbidae. The transcript is spliced from 2 exons. The record is from RefSeq and is a predicted model, not a curated record.